This 484-nucleotide ribosomal RNA is filed under the name uncultured bacterium. Its description in RNAcentral is "partial 16S ribosomal RNA". It matches the Rfam family "Bacterial small subunit ribosomal RNA", at positions 28 to 507 of the family's 1533-position model. The record is from RNAcentral.
AUUGAACGCUGGCGGCAUGCUUUACACAUGCAAGUCGAACGGCAGCGCGGGCUUCGGCCUGGCGGCGAGUGGCGAACGGGUGAGUAAUGCAUCGGAACGUGCCCAGUAGUGGGGGAUAGCCCGGCGAAAGCCGGAUUAAUACCGCAUACGACCUGAGGGUGAAAGCGGGGGACCGAAAGGCCUCGCGCUAUUGGAGCGGCCGAUGUCGGAUUAGCUAGUUGGUGGGGUAAAGGCUUACCAAGGCGACGAUCCGUAGCUGGUCUGAGAGGACGACCAGCCACACUGGGACUGAGACACGGCCCAGACUCCUACGGGAGGCAGCAGUGGGGAAUUUUGGACAAUGGGGGCAACCCUGAUCCAGCCAUGCGGCGUGCGGGAAGAAGGCCUUCGGGUUGUAAACCGCUUUUGUUCGGGAAGAAAUCCUCUGGGCUAAUACCCCGGGGGGAUGACGGUACCGGAAGAAUAAGCACCGGCUAACUACGUG